Molecule: ribosomal RNA, 668 nt
Filed under: Acinetobacter johnsonii
Lineage: Bacteria; Pseudomonadati; Pseudomonadota; Gammaproteobacteria; Moraxellales; Moraxellaceae
Description: bacterial SSU rRNA
Rfam family: Bacterial small subunit ribosomal RNA
Source: RNAcentral
GUCGAGCGGGGAAGGGUAGCUUGCUACCUGACCUAGCGGCGGACGGGUGAGUAAUGCUUAGGAAUCUGCCUAUUAGUGGGGGACAACAUUCCGAAAGGAAUGCUAAUACCGCAUACGCCCUACGGGGGAAAGCAGGGGAUCUUCGGACCUUGCGCUAAUAGAUGAGCCUAAGUCAGAUUAGCUAGUUGGUGGGGUAAAGGCCUACCAAGGCGACGAUCUGUAGCGGGUCUGAGAGGAUGAUCCGCCACACUGGGACUGAGACACGGCCCAGACUCCUACGGGAGGCAGCAGUGGGGAAUAUUGGACAAUGGGCGCAAGCCUGAUCCAGCCAUGCCGCGUGUGUGAAGAAGGCCUUUUGGUUGUAAAGCACUUUAAGCGAGGAGGAGGCUACUUGGAUUAAUACUCUAGGAUAGUGGACGUUACUCGCAGAAUAAGCACCGGCUAACUCUGUGCCAGCAGCCGCGGUAAUACAGAGGGUGCGAGCGUUAAUCGGAUUUACUGGGCGUAAAGCGUGCGUAGGCGGCUUUUUAAGUCGGAUGUGAAAUCCCUGAGCUUAACUUAGGAAUUGCAUUCGAUACUGGGAAGCUAGAGUAUGGGAGAGGAUGGUAGAAUUCCAGGUGUAGCGGUGAAAUGCGUAGAGAUCUGGAGGAAUACCGAUGGCGAAGGCA